GAGGAAGGCGUGUUUGGAGGAGCCACAAGAGUUGUUUUUGUUAAUCAGCGAGUUAUUCGUAGGAUAUUGAGGACAAAUGAAUUCGAAACGCUUCGCUUUGCUUUCGCCUUUCGCUGCACUGCCGUCGUGGUGUCAUUUGGGAAUGACAGCCACAUUCAGUUCGAAUUCUUGCUGUUUGUGAAGAUUUAUUGAGAAAGCUGUUUUGCACGAGGUGACCUUGAGUAACCUUCAAGAUGAAGAAAUUAUCCCGAACUGUACCGAGCGCGAAGUUGUCGCGAAGUGUGGCCGAAACCGAGAAGAUAAAAGCGUCAAGAACCGGAUUUCUAUCGGCGCUAACCAAGAAAAUGAAUGAUGUGAAACGUUUGGCAACAGAAAAUUAGAAUAAACGUUAAUCAAGUGAAUGCGCGUUUGAACUUGUCCUAAUAGUGCCGUCGUGGUGUCAUUUGGGAAUGACAGCCACAAGAGUCAAUGGUGGGAGGCCACAGAUACAAAGCGACAACGACUACAUGGGGUAGGUGUACAUGCAUUUUCGCCAGAGGUGAUGACACCGAGAUUUUCUCAGGUUAGAGUAAGGCUGUGUUUUAAAGUAAAAAAAAGUAUAUAGGGUGUGGGUUUUAGGUCUCAAGUAUGUUUGUUCCAUAAAAAAAGGACUAAAGCAAAUAAAAUGUAUAAUAAAGACUUAUUUUCAUUUUCUCCAAAGAAUUUUAACAUAAUAACUAAACAAAUUGUCAGAAUAAGUAAACUUAACUCACACUUGUUAUAAUGGUUAGUCAAAUGUGUAGUUAAGAAACUUCUGGAUUUCAAAUAAAAUAUUAAAGCAAACGACAAGAAUAACUGAUACAUGAAAAUGUUAUCAUGUUCUUCACACUAAUAUGCUGUGUGUUUCCACCAGGGAAGUCUGACGAGGUGCAGUUCCAUCUCCUUACACUUCCCUCCAUGAACAUGUUAGUUUGUUGUUUACAUAAACAUUUUAUUGCGUCUUUUUACAUGAACAUGUUAUGUUGUUUAAAUGAAAAUGUUAUAUUGUUUAAAAGAUCAUGUUAUUUUGUUGUUUACAUGAACAUGUUGUGUUUACAUGAUCAUGUUAUUGUGUUGUUUACAUGAUCAUCUUAUUAUGUUAUUUACCUGUAUCUCCCUUGUCGCCCUUGGGACCGACAGGCCCAGGGUCUCCUUUUAAGCCUGCUGGACCUAAGUGGAAAAAAUAAAAAAAUGAAAUUUAAUCCAA
This is a long non-coding RNA of Nematostella vectensis (starlet sea anemone), 1225 nucleotides long. RefSeq lists it as uncharacterized. The transcript has 2 exons. NCBI's taxonomy places the organism in Eukaryota, Metazoa, Cnidaria, Anthozoa, Actiniaria, Edwardsiidae. The record is from RefSeq and is a predicted model, not a curated record.